Molecule: ribosomal RNA, 482 nt
Filed under: uncultured bacterium
Lineage: Bacteria
Description: partial 16S ribosomal RNA
Rfam family: Bacterial small subunit ribosomal RNA
Source: RNAcentral
UUGAACGCUGGCGGCAGGCCUAACACAUGCAAGUCGAGCGGAUGAAGGGAGCUUGCUCCUGGAUUCAGCGGCGGACGGGUGAGUAAUGCCUAGGAAUCUGCCUGGUAGUGGGGGAUAACGUCCGGAAACGGGCGCUAAUACCGCAUACGUCCUGAGGGAGAAAGUGGGGGAUCUUCGGACCUCACGCUAUCAGAUGAGCCUAGGUCGGAUUAGCUAGUUGGUGGGGUAAAGGCCUACCAAGGCGACGAUCCGUAACUGGUCUGAGAGGAUGAUCAGUCACACUGGAACUGAGACACGGUCCAGACUCCUACGGGAGGCAGCAGUGGGGAAUAUUGGACAAUGGGCGAAAGCCUGAUCCAGCCAUGCCGCGGGGGUGAAGAAGGUCUUCGGAUUGUAAAGCACUUUAAGUUGGGAGGAAGGGCAGUAAGUUAAUACCUUGCUGUUUGGACGUUACCAACAGAAUAAGCACCGGCUAACUUCGU